This is a non-coding RNA of Cynocephalus volans (Philippine flying lemur), 75 nucleotides long. NCBI's taxonomy places the organism in Eukaryota, Metazoa, Chordata, Mammalia, Dermoptera, Cynocephalidae. The record is from the annotation of a RefSeq genome assembly.
GGCCAGUUAGCUCAGUUGAUUAGAGUGUGGUGCUGCUAACACCAACGUCAAGGGUUCAAAUUCCCUUACUGGCCA